CGCAAGUUCAUGUCAUCGAAAUUAUCGUAGACCUCAUGCCAGGUCGACUCGAUGACGCCCUCAGGUUCCAUUCCAGCGGGACCAUCUUGAGCUAUUUCACUUCGAUCAUCCCUAUGGAACAAAAAUACACAAAACGAUGCAGCAAAACGACGACAAAGUGGUCGGUGGCGACAACGACGUUUAGCGGCAGGCAGGCGGGCGGGCCCAGCAGCAACGACGAAAACGACACUUACAUUAUCAACAAUAAAAAAUUGACUAGUUAAA
This is a long non-coding RNA of Drosophila montana, 264 nucleotides long. RefSeq lists it as uncharacterized. The transcript has 2 exons. Lineage: Eukaryota; Metazoa; Arthropoda; Insecta; Diptera; Drosophilidae. The record is from RefSeq and is a predicted model, not a curated record.